Molecule: long non-coding RNA, 450 nt
Filed under: Mytilus galloprovincialis (Mediterranean mussel)
Lineage: Eukaryota; Metazoa; Mollusca; Bivalvia; Mytilida; Mytilidae
Source: RNAcentral
UGAAAAUGGAAAUGGGGAAUGUGCCAAAGAGACAACAACCCGACAAUAGAAAAAAACAACAGCAGAAGGUCACCAACAGGUCUUCAAUGUAGCGAGAAGUUCCCGCACCCGGAGGCGUCCUUCAACUGGCCUCUAAACAAAUAUAUACUAGUUCAGUGAUAAUGAACGCCAUACUUAUUUCCAAAUUGUACACAAGAAACUAAAAUUAAAAUAAUACAAGACUAACAAAACCAGAGGCUCCAGACUUGGGACAGGCGCAAAAAUGCGGCGGGGUUAAACAUGUUUGUGAGAUCUCAACCCUCCCCCUAUACCUCUAGCCAAUGUAGAAAAGUAAACGCAUAACAAUAUGCACAUUAAAAUUCAGUUCAAGAGAAGUCUGAGUCUGAUGUCAGAAGAUGUAACCGAAACAUACAUCUAAUGUAAUUAUAUACAUAUAAAAGUAGAUUCUAC